AUGAUGGCGCUGGCCAAGACGAUCGCGCUGCUGGUGUGCCUCCUAGGCACAGCGGGAGGCACAUCGGGGGCAAAUUGCAUCCCGCGGACGAGGUCGGCGACCUUCACGCCGCGCUCAGCCGCUAGUUUCUUUACUGCUCGCACACCGCCACCGACGGUCGACUGGCGUGCGCAUGGUGCUGUCACGCCGGUCAUGGACCAGGGAGUUCUCGGUUCCUGCUGGGCUAUCUCGACGGCGGGCGCCAUCGAGGGGCUGCACAAGAUCCGCUCCGGAAGACUUGUCCGCCUAUCGAGCCAGCAGAUAUACGACUGCUCCAACAAAAGCAUGAUCGAGUCGCACCUCAGGGCGUACGACUGGGUGCUCCUCAACGGAGGCGUCGCCUCCGAGGAGACGUACCCGUACGUGGACCGAGUCCAGGACUGCAAGCGGGAGAAGCUGCAUAUGAUCUCCGCGUCCAUCACAAGCUUCGUGUGGACCAUACGAACCGAGCAAGAGCUCCUGCACGCCGUCACUCAGCAGCCGGUGACCGUCAAGAUGUCGGUCGAGCCAGCAAGCUUCCUCAACUACACAGGAGGCAUCUUCUCGGGACCGUGCGGGCAUGCUGGCCACUCCAUGUUGGCAGUGGGUUAUGGCGUCCUCGCCGACGGCAGAAAAUACUGGAUCUUAAAAGGUUCUUACGGCGUUCAUUGGGGUGACCACGGCUACUUCUACGUGCAACGUGGACCUGGCCACGAUGCAGGCCUCUGCGGCAUUGCGAAUUACGCCGCACAUCCGGUCUAG
RNAcentral lists this ribosomal RNA (780 nucleotides) under Triticum aestivum (bread wheat). Its description in RNAcentral is "partial small subunit ribosomal RNA". The record is from RNAcentral. Lineage: Eukaryota; Viridiplantae; Streptophyta; Magnoliopsida; Poales; Poaceae.